AGAGUAAUCCGACUUCCGACUUCCGACAUCCGACUUCCGUUAUGGUAGGGGAGCAUUCCUAACGGGCAGAAGCUGUACCGAAAGGAGCAGUGGACUAUUAGGAAGAGAGAAUGCUGGCAUAAGUAAGCGAGAAGGCAGGUGAGAAUCCUGCCCGCCGUAAACCUGAGGUUUCCUGGGGAAGGCUCGUCCGCCCAGGGUAAGCCGGGACCUAAGCCGAGGCCGGAAGGCGUAGGCGAUGGACAACUGGUUGAGAAUCCAGUGCCACCUGAAGCCGCUUGAGCGAAGGGGUGACGCAGGAGGAUAGGUGAAGCGCACGGAUGGAAGAGUGCGUCCAAGCACGUAGGGUAAUGGGCAGGCAAAUCCGCCCAUUGAAAAGCCUGAGGUGUGACGGGGAGUGAAACAUAGUAGCGAAGUCACUGAGUCCAAACUGCCAAGAAAAGCCUCUAGCAAGGCAACAGGUGCCCGUACCGAAAACCGACACAGGUAGGUGAGGAGAGAAUCCUAAGGCGCGCGAGAGAACCCUCGUUAAGGAACUCGGCAAAAUAACCCCGUAACUUAGGGAGAAGGGGUGCUCUAUUAGCGUGAGUAUGUUUAACAUAUAUGAGCGUGAGAGAGCCGCAGUGAUCAGGCCCAGGCGACUGUUUAACAAAAACACAGGUCUCUGCCAAAUCGAAAGAUGAAGUAUAGAGGCUGACGCCUGCCCGGUGCCGGAAGGUUAAGAGGAAGUGUUAGCGCAAGCAAAGCACUGAGCCGAAGCCCCGGUGAACGGCGGCCGUAACUAUAACGGUCCUAAGGUAGCGAAAUUCCUUGUCUGGUAAGUUCAGACCCGCACGAAAGGCGUAACGAUCUGGGCACUGUCUCGACGAGGGGCUCGGUGAAAUUGUAAUACCGGUGAAGAUGCCGGUUACCUGCGAUAGGACAGAAAGACCCCGUGGAGCUUUACUGCAGCUUGAUAUUGAAUUUUGGUAGUUGAUGUACAGGAUAGGUGGGAGACUAAGAAGUGAGGUCGCCAGGUCUCAUGGAGUCAACGGUGGGAUACCACUCUUUAAUUGCUGGGAUUCUAACCUGGGCCCGUGAUCCGGGUCAGGGACAGUGUCUGGCGGGCAGUUUGACUGGGGCGGUCGCCUCCCAAAGAGUAACGGAGGCGCCCGAAGGUUUCCUCAGCGCGGAUGGAAAUCGCGCGAAGAGUGUAAAGGCAUAAGGGAGCUUGACU
Molecule: ribosomal RNA, 1213 nt
Filed under: fermentation metagenome
Description: bacterial LSU rRNA
Rfam family: Bacterial large subunit ribosomal RNA
Source: RNAcentral